This 253-nucleotide ribosomal RNA is filed under the name uncultured bacterium. Its description in RNAcentral is "partial 16S ribosomal RNA". It matches the Rfam family "Bacterial small subunit ribosomal RNA", at positions 524 to 776 of the family's 1533-position model. The record is from RNAcentral.
UACGAAGGGGGCUAGCGUUGCUCGGAAUUACUGGGCGUAAAGGGCGCGUAGGCGGACAGUUUAGUCAAAGGUGAAAGCCCAGGGCUCAACCUUGGAAUUGCCUUUGAUACUGGCUGUCUUGAGUUCGGGAGAGGUGAGUGGAAUGCCGAGUGUAGAGGUGAAAUUCGUAGAUAUUCGCAAGAACACCAGUGGCGAAGGCGGCUCACUGGCCCGAUACUGACGCUGAGGCACGAAAGCGUGGGGAGCAAACAGG